Molecule: ribosomal RNA, 495 nt
Filed under: uncultured bacterium
Lineage: Bacteria
Description: partial 16S ribosomal RNA
Rfam family: Bacterial small subunit ribosomal RNA
Source: RNAcentral
GACGAACGCUGGCGGCGUGCCUAAUACAUGCCAGUAGAACGCUGAAGGAGGAGCUUGCUUCUCCGGAUGAGUUGCGAACGGGUGAGUAACGCGUAGGUAACCUGCCUGGUAGCGGGGGAUAACUAUUGGAAACGAUAGCUAAUACCGCAUAACAGUAGAUGUUGCAUGACAUUUGCUUAAAAGGUGCAAUUGCAUCACUACCAGAUGGACCUGCGUUGUAUUAGCUAGUUGGUGAGGUAACGGCUCACCAAGGCGACGAUACAUAGCCGACCUGAGAGGGUGAUCGGCCACACUGGGACUGAGACACGGCCCAGACUCCUACGGGAGGCAGCAGUAGGGAAUCUUCGGCAAUGGACGGAAGUCUGACCGAGCAACGCCGCGUGAGUGAAGAAGGGUUUCGGAUCGUAAAGCUCUGUUGUAAGAGAAGAACGAGUGUGAGAGUGGAAAGUUCACACUGUGACGGUAUCUUACCAGAAAGGGACGGCUAACUACGUG